RNAcentral lists this ribosomal RNA (253 nucleotides) under uncultured bacterium. Its description in RNAcentral is "partial 16S ribosomal RNA". It matches the Rfam family "Bacterial small subunit ribosomal RNA", at positions 524 to 776 of the family's 1533-position model. The record is from RNAcentral.
UACAGAGGGGGCAAGCGUUGUUCGGAAUUACUGGGCGUAAAGGGCGCGUAGGCGGCCUUCUAAGUCGAACGUGAAAUCCCCGGACUCAACCCGGGAACUGCGUCCGAUACUGGAAGGCUUGAAUCCGGGAGAGGGAUGCGGAAUUCCAGGUGUAGCGGUGAAAUGCGUAGAUAUCUGGAGGAAUACCGGUGGCGAAGGCGGCAUCCUGGACCGACAUUGACGCUGAACGGCGAAAGCUAGGGGAGCAAACGGG